Non-coding RNA from Lolium perenne, 1826 nucleotides. Lineage: Eukaryota; Viridiplantae; Streptophyta; Magnoliopsida; Poales; Poaceae. The record is from RefSeq and is a predicted model, not a curated record.
GGCGCGACGGCGUCCUUGGUUACUUCGUCGGCCGCCGUCUAAAAAAUCCCCAUUUCUCCACUGAUCUAGUCGUCGCCGGCCAAUACCCAGUUCCAAUAUGGAGCUGAGCUCGGGCUUCACCCGGCGCUCCUCCCAGCAGCUGGGCCCAGCCAGCGGCGGGGAGGACCGCAUCAGCGCCCUGGACGACGACAUGCUGCUCCUCGUCCUGGCGCGCCUCGGAUGCUUCCGCGCGGCCGCUCGCACGGGCGGCCUCUCCCGCCGGUGGCGCGGCCUCUGGGCCAGCCUCCGCCACAUCGUCUUCUGCGACGUCCCGUUCCCCUCGCUCGAAGCGGCGCUCGGCCGCGUCACUCGCCCCCCUCCGGGGCUUUCCCUCCUGGAGAUCCGCGUCACGGACAUGCAGCCCAGGCGCGACGCCGCCGGCGUCACCUCGCUCUUGUGCGCCGCCGCGCUGCUCGAGCCCAAGGAGCUAGUCUUGGCCCUCCCGUCGGGCUACAUGGGCAAUCUCUCGCCCUUGUUCUUCCUGCAGCUUCCAGACCACGUCAGGUUCCAUGAACUCGAGACACUGUCCCUCUUGGGCUGCCACGUGCGCUUCGACUCCUUGCUCCCCUGCUGCCCACGCUUGCGGGUGCUAAGGCUAAAGUUCAAUGACCGUUGGGGCCACUACAACAUCAGAUCCUUCAUGUCACUCCACUCCACGUCGCUGCAAGAGCUUUGUGUGGAUGUCGAGAACGUAAGCAUAGAUACCGUCGACCUUGUUGCUCCCGAGCUUAAGAAAUUGACAGUGUCCUUGAAGGCUUUCCGGGAGGUCAACAUCUCUAUCUUGGCACCAAUGCUUGAGAAGCUCUCAUGGAAAUGCUCCUACUCCUUUAUCAACUUUGGUCCUUGGAGGAUUGCAAAGUUGUGGCUGCAGAAGGCGGAGAGACAAGGAGAGCUCCCUUCAUUGCUCAUCCAUGCCCGCAUUAGCUCGUCCAUUGUUCAUGGUGAAGCGGAGAACUCUACGCAAGAGAUAGAGAAACAUAUGCUCGCAAAGUUCUCUGUUUUGGAGUUACAUCUCAGGCCAAAGGGACAUGCUUUUGGAGCAUUCAUGUUUCAUCUCCUUGGGAUGAAUCGGUUUUUUAGGGCCACGCAGAGGCUAAAGGUUGUCCUACAGAGAUCCUCGUUGAAGCAAGAAUGCCCACUAGAUUGUGCUUGUGACCACCCGGACUGGAGAUCCCGAACUAGCUCCUUGACCGCUCUCGAAGAAGUGGAGAUCAGUGGCUUUCAAGGACACGAUCAUGAGAUCGAUUUCUUGAAACUGAUAUUCAAAUGUGCACCGAUGCUUAAAAGAAUGAUUGUGCGUUUCUCACAUGAGGUCUUAUAUCGUGAUCAUCAUGGAUGCACACAAAUACGAAACAUCUUCAGGGAAUAUUCUUCUGUGGAAUGCUAUCUUUAUCUUAGCUCUGCCUCCAAUGCAGGUUUAGUGCAUGGCAGCGGCGGGUUCCCAUCAACAUGAUUCUCAGCCUACAUUCGCAAAAAAAAACAUGAUUCUCAGCCUUGCAUAUUUGGAUUCAUGAUGAGUGGAUGCAUGCCUCUUUUACUGCAAGUUUGAUCAUGGAUGGCUGCAAAAGAUGCCAAGAAUCAUAUCGGCAACUUUGGCUCCUUGUUUGUCUAAUGCCAUCAUCUUAACAAGUUAUAAUAUUGUGAUGUUUGUAUGAAGUACUAAUGACUGCUGGACUGAUGUUAUUCUGCACUGUCAAACUCCUAGUUUUCAUGCUUCUUGUGCUAUAAGUAUUUGUUCCCCAUCGAAUGAUGAUAUAGAUUGUAGAGUGUAUCUACUAUUUGAUGCU